This 253-nucleotide ribosomal RNA is filed under the name uncultured bacterium. Its description in RNAcentral is "partial 16S ribosomal RNA". It matches the Rfam family "Bacterial small subunit ribosomal RNA", at positions 524 to 776 of the family's 1533-position model. The record is from RNAcentral.
UACGUAGGAGGCGAGCGUUGUCCGGAUUUAUUGGGCGUAAAGAGCGUGUAGGCGGCCAUACAGGUCAGCUGUGAAAACUCGAGGCUCAACCUCGAGACGUCGGUUGAAACCGUAUGGCUAGAGUCCGGAAGAGGAGAGUGGAAUUCCCGGUGUAGCGGUGAAAUGCGCAGAUAUCGGGAAGAACACCCGUGGCGAAGGCGGCUCUCUGGGACGGUACUGACGCUGAGACGCGAAAGCGUGGGGAGCGAACAGG